CAUAUGCAGGCUGAAGCAUGACCGUAAGGACAUGUGGACAGUAUACGAGUGAGAAUGUUGGCAUGAGUAGCGAGACGUGGGUGAGAAUCCCACGGGCCGUAAACCCAAGGUUUCCAGGGGAAGGUUCGUCCGCCCUGGGUUAGUCGGGACCUAAGCCGAGGCCGAAAGGCGUAGGUGAUGGACAACAGGUUGAUAUUCCUGUACCGCCAAUAAGCAUUUGAGAGAUGGAGUGACACAGUAGGAUAAGCUAACCGUACUGUUGGUUAUGUACGGCUAAGCAUUGAGGCAGUCUAAAUAGGCAAAUCCGUUUAGACAAUGCUAGGAUGUGAUGGGGAAGCCCUUCGGGGCGAAGUAGCUGAUUUCACACUGUCAAGAAAAGCUUCUAUCGAGUUUAAAGGCGCCCGUACCGUAAACCGACACAGGUGGGUGAGGAGAGUAUCCUAAGGCCAGCGAGAGAACUAUUGUUAAGGAACUCGGCAAAAUGACCCCGUAACUUAGGGAGAAGGGGUGCCUGUCUAUGACAGGCCGCAGAGAAUAGGCCCAAGCGACUGUUUACCAAAAACACAGGUUUCUGCUAAGUCGCAAGACGAUGUAUAGGAGCUGACGCCUGCCCGGUGCUGGAAGGUUAAGGGGAUCUGUUAGAGCAAUCGAAGCAGUGAACUUAAGCCCCAGUAAACGGCGGCCGUAACAAUAACGGUCCUAAGGUAGCGAAAUUCCUUGUCGGGUAAGUUCCGACCCGCACGAAAGGCGUAACGAUUUGGGCACUGUCUCAACAAUAGACUCGGUGAAAUUGUAAUCCCGGUGAAGAUGCCGGGUACCUGCGACAGGACGGAAAGACCCCAUGGAGCUUUACUGUAGCUUGAUGUUGGGUCUUGGUACUACAUGUACAGGAUAGGUGGGAGACUAUGAAGCAUGGACGCCAGUCUGUGUGGAGUCAUCCUUGGGAUACCACCCUUGUAGUACUGGGAUCCUAACCAUAGGCCUUGAAUCAGGUCUUGGAACACCGUCAGGUGGGCAGUUUGACUGGGGCGGUCGCCUCCUAAAAAGUAACGGAGGCGCUCAAAGGUUUCCUCAGCACGGUCGGAAAUCGUGCGAAGAGUGUAAAGGCAAAAGGAAGCUUGAUUGCAAGACAUACAGGUCGAGCAAGGACGAAAGUCGGACUUAGUGAUCCGGUGGUACCGCAUGGAAGGGCCAUCGCUCAACGGAUAAAAGCUACCCUGGGGAUAACAGGCUUAUCUCCCCCAAGAGUCCACAUCGACGGGGAGGUUUGGCACCUCGAUGUCGGCUCAUCACAUCCUGGGGCUGUAGUAGGUCCCAAGGGUUGGGCUGUUCGCCCAUUAAAGUGGUACGCGAGCUGGGUUCAGAACGUCGUGAGACAGUUCGGUCCCUAUCCGUCGCAGGCGUAGGAAAUUUGAGAAGACCUGUCCUUAGUACGAGAGGACCGGGAUGGACGUACCUCUGGUGUACCAGUUGUUCUGCCAAGGGCAUGGCUGGGUAGCUAUGUACGGAAUGGAUAAGCGCUGAAAGCAUCUAAGCGCGAAGCCAACUUCAAGAUAAGAUUUCCCACCGUAAGGGUAAGACCCCAGGAAGACUACCUGGUUGAUAGGUCGAAGGUGUAAGUGCAGUAAUGUAUUUAGCUUAUCGAUACUAAUAGGUCGAGGACUUGACCU
Molecule: ribosomal RNA, 1670 nt
Filed under: metagenome
Description: bacterial LSU rRNA
Rfam family: Bacterial large subunit ribosomal RNA
Source: RNAcentral